AGCCACGAUGGGAGCUCCUUGCCUUGCUAUUCUGAUGAACCUUGGUGAACCCCCGAAAGGAAAGAGAAAUGGAGGGAGAGAGGGGGAGGGAUUGUCGUUGAGCCACAUGUGUCCGCUACCCACAUGCUUGUGUGUGUGGUUCUAGAAUGCUGAUCUCAGUCAAGGUUGUCUUUGCACUUAUUGAGGUCCUCACCAUGCUGUGUCUUUCACCAUUUGGGGGUUUCUUUCAAUGUCUAAUACUUUCUUCUCAUUCAGUGUUUCCUCCUGGGUUUCUUGCCUGGUGACCUACACUCCCUGCGAGGCAGCAGCGGCCCUUUUGCCUUGCUUUUGUGCCUUGAGCAGAGAGUUGCUCUAAGCAGCUGGUUCCCCGUCCUCUUUUCUGGCCCCACUGAGCAGAGUGAUGGGACCAAGAAUGGGAGGGAGUGAGCCUAAACCCAGAUUGGGACCUGAGCCCAUGGUGUUUUUGUUUAUUUAUUUAUUUUUAUUUUUCAUUUUUUAAUAUUACUCAAUGAAUUUAUUACAUUUAUAGCUGUACAAUGAUUAUCAUGACCCAAGUUUAUAGCAUUUCCAUCCCAAACCUCCACCAUGGUGUUUUUCAUUAGAAUUACUCACCUGGUGUCUGGACUUACUGAGGUUCAGGUUCUUUGUGUCUUACCGCAGAAGGAAUUCAGUGAGAGACAAAGUGAUAGGGAAGAAAUAGAUUUGUUAAGAUAGGAUGCUUGGGGAGUUCGCGCUGUGGCUCAGUGGUAACAAACCUGACUAGUAUCCAUGAGGAUGCCAGUUUGAUCCCUGGACUCACUCAGUGGUGUAGGUUGCAGAUGAAGAUCAGAUCUCGAGUUGCUGUGGCUGUGGUGUAGGCCAGCAGCUGCGGCUCCAAUUUGAUCCCUAGCCUGGGAACGUCCCUAUGCCACGGGUACAGUCUUUAAAAAAAAAAAAAAAGAUAAUGAUUGACCUAUGGUGUUUAAAGAAUUGGGUUCUUGGAGUUUCCUGGUGGUUUGGGCAGGUUAGGGAUCUGUCAUUGUCACUGCUGUGGCUCAGGACGAUCCCCGGCUUGGGAACUGGCAUAUGCUGUGAGUGUGGCCAAAAAAAAAAAAGCAAUUGGGUUCUCUCAGAAUAUUAAUAUGCUUGUUAGUUUUCUAGGGCUGUCAAACCGCAUGACAUAGGGAAACAGAAAUGUGUUCUCCCAUAGUUCUGAGACAUCUGAAAUCAAGUGUUGGCAGGCCCAUCCGUCUUCCCCCUGAAGGUUCCAGGGGAGAAUCCUUCCUUUGCCUCUUCCAGUUCCGGAGCUCCUGGUAGACCUUGGUGUUCCCUGGCUUGUACCUGCCUCCCUCUGCCUUUGCCUCCAUCGCUGUCUGGCCGGUGUGUCUGUGUGACCUCUCCUCUCCUGAUGGGGACAUCAGCCACUGGGGCCACCCUACCCCAUCAUGACUUCAUCCUAAUAUAAUUACACCUGCAAAGACCUUAUUUCCAAAUAUAGUCUUGUUCUGAGAUUAUGGGUGGACAGUUUGAGGAGACAUUAUUCAACUCAUUGCAUUUUUUAUCAAAAGUUCGGAAAAUUGAGUAGUAAAAGUAUAGCACAGCUCCCCCCCAACCUCCUGCCCCUAGUUGGGUUCUUCCUCUAAGCAAUUUAGCUGUACUUGGUGGAAAGAAAGGUGAGACCUUGCAAAUUUCAUUUCACAUUGCACACGGAACCUAUUGAUACAGAGGGCUGACUGUACCUAUGUUUUUCUAAAGUCUUUCAUAUGGUUCCAGGUGGUGCCAUGGACUGAAUGUUCAUGUCCCCUAAAAUUCCUAUGUUGGAAACAAAUCCCCUUUGUGAUGGUAUUUAGAGGUGUGGCCUUUGGGAAGUAAGUCAUAAGGGUGGGAACCCUCACCAGUGGGAUUAGUGCCCUUACAGUCACGGUCACAAGACCCUGUGGCUCUCUCCCCAUCAGAGAACCUUCUGAGGGUGGGGAAAGAGGGCCCUCCCUUUCACUGGGGAGAUGGAUAAACCAAAGGGUGACCUUGUUUUCAAGCUCUGGAGCAUAGUUAGUGGUGAGUUUGUCUUCCACAGGCUGAAUCAAGGUCAAGGGAAGUGGAAAGGGCUGUGGAGAGGCUCCGGUUGGGGGGGGUGUUGGUCAGGGGCAGCCCCCAGGCAGGGGCCUGAGCAGUGACUACCAGCAGAUCUCUGGAUGGGCUGACAGGGCUGGGGGACAGCAGACAGCCAAGCUUCCUUGACUCCUUUUUAGACCACUGUAAACUCCCAAAGGCUACUUCCCUCCUUCUUUGCUGAGUUUCAGGAACUCAUUUGGGUUGGUUGGGGGGCAGUUGCCAUGGUGAUGCUAUCUCUAGACCCCAGCAUGAAACCACAUCCCUAAAGAAUUUCAUCCCAUGAGAGCAAAACACAGAUUCACUGGAAAGGGUGGUCCAAAAGGUAGUGGCGUUUAGCAAUGGAGCAGCUACUUUGUUUUAAUGAGCUUGAGUUCACCUCAUCUGUGAGAUGCGAAAGGUAAUGCCUGCCUGGCAGGAUCACUUGAGAUGUCAGAUGACACAAUAAAGAGAUGAAUUCAGGAGUUCCUGUUGUGGCACAGCGGAAACGAAUCCUCCUAGUAUCCAUGAGGAUGUGGGUUCAAUCCCUGACCUUGCUCAGUGAGUCGGGGAUCUGGUGUAGCCAUGAGCUGUGGUGUAGGUUGCAGACACAGCUCAGAUCCUCUGUUUCUGUGGCUAUGGUGUAGACCAGCAGGUGCAGUUCUGAUUCGAUCCUUAGACUGGGAACUUCCAUAUGCUGUGGAUGCGGUC
This 2778-nucleotide long non-coding RNA is filed under the name Sus scrofa (pig). RNAcentral describes it as "lncRNA (ENSSSCG00045001428.1)". Lineage: Eukaryota; Metazoa; Chordata; Mammalia; Artiodactyla; Suidae. The record is from RNAcentral.